UACGUAGGUGGCAAGCGUUGUCCGGAUUUACUGGGCGUAAAGAGCGCGCAGGCGGUCGUUCAAGUCGCGUGUGAAAGCCCCCGGCUCAACUGGGGAGGGUCACGCGAUACUGUUCGACUCGAAGGCAGGAGAGGGAAGCAGAAUUCCCGGUGUAGUGGUGAAAUGCGUAGAUAUCGGGAGGAAUACCAGUGGCGAAGGCGGCUCACUGGUCCGGUACUGACGCUGAUGUGCGAAAGCGUGGGGAGCAAACAGG
This 253-nucleotide ribosomal RNA is filed under the name uncultured bacterium. RNAcentral describes it as "partial 16S ribosomal RNA". It matches the Rfam family "Bacterial small subunit ribosomal RNA", at positions 524 to 776 of the family's 1533-position model. The record is from RNAcentral.